GGUACAUUUGGUCUGUGAUUUAAACAGUGAAGGUACAUUUGGUCUGUGAUUUAUACAGUGAAGGUACAUUUGGUCUGUGAUUUAGACAGUGAAGGUACAUUUGGUCUGUGAUUUAAACAGUGAAGGUACAUUUGGUCUGUGAUUUAAACAGUGAAGGUACAUUUGGUCUGUGAUUUAAACAGUGAAGGUACAUUUGGUCUGUGAUUUAAACAGUGAAGGUACAUUUGGUCUGUGAUUUAAACAGUGAAGGUACAUUUGGUCUGUGAUUUAAACAGUGAAGGUACAUUUGGUCUGUGAUUUAAACAGUGAAGGUACAUUUGGUCUGUGAUUUAAACAGUGAAGGUACAUUUGGUCCAUGAUUUAAACAGUGAAGGUACAUUUGGUCUGUGAUUUAAACAGUGAAGGUACAUUUGGUC
This is a long non-coding RNA of Oncorhynchus keta (chum salmon), 416 nucleotides long. RefSeq lists it as uncharacterized. The transcript is spliced from 4 exons. NCBI's taxonomy places the organism in Eukaryota, Metazoa, Chordata, Actinopteri, Salmoniformes, Salmonidae. The record is from RefSeq and is a predicted model, not a curated record.